This 206-nucleotide ribosomal RNA is filed under the name uncultured bacterium. Its description in RNAcentral is "partial 16S ribosomal RNA". It matches the Rfam family "Bacterial small subunit ribosomal RNA", at positions 568 to 774 of the family's 1533-position model. The record is from RNAcentral.
CGUCUAGGCGGUCAGGUAAGUGGGAUGUGAAAUGCCCCGGCUCACCCGGGGACCGGCAUCUCAUACUGCUUGGCUUGAGUACGGGAGAGGAUGUGGGAAUUCCCGGUGUAGCGGUGAAAUGCGUAGAUAUCAGGAGGAACACCGGUGGCGAAGGCGCACAUCUGGCCCGAUACUGACGCUGAAGCGCGAAAGCUAGGGAGCAAACG